RNAcentral lists this ribosomal RNA (1360 nucleotides) under uncultured Bacteroidales bacterium. RNAcentral's name for it is "bacterial SSU rRNA". It matches the Rfam family "Bacterial small subunit ribosomal RNA", at positions 28 to 1382 of the family's 1533-position model. The record is from RNAcentral. Lineage: Bacteria; Pseudomonadati; Bacteroidota; Bacteroidia; Bacteroidales.
GAUGAACGCUAGCGACAGGCUUAACACAUGCAAGUCGAGGGGCAUCACGUUGGCAGCAAUGCUAUGGGUGGCGACCGGCGCACGGGUGAGUAACGCGUAUGCAACCUGCCCGCGACAGGAGGACAGCCCGGCGAAAGUCGGAUUAAUACUCCGUAAAACAGGGGUUCCGCAUGGGGCUAUUUGUUAAAGAUUAAUCGGUUGCGGAUGGGCAUGCGUAACAUUAGGUAGUUGGGAGGGUAAUGGCCUGCCAAGCCGACGAUGUUUAGGGGUUCUGAGAGGAAGGUCCCCCACACUGGUACUGAGACACGGACCAGACUCCUACGGGAGGCAGCAGUGAGGAAUAUUGGUCAAUGGUCGGGAGACUGAACCAGCCAAGUCGCGUGCAGGAAGACGGCCCUACGGGUUGUAAACUGCUUUUACAGGGGAAUAAAGAUUGAUACGAGUAUUGAGAUGCAGGUAUCCUGUGAAUAAGCAUCGGCUAACUCCGUGCCAGCAGCCGCGGUAAUACGGAGGAUGCGAGCGUUAUCCGGAUUUAUUGGGUUUAAAGGGUGCGUAGGUGGGCUAUUAAGUCAGUGGUGAAAUAUUGUCGCUCAACGACAGGACUGCCAUUGAAACUGGUAAUCUUGAGUAUAGAUGAAGUAGGCGGAAUGCGAGGUGUAGCGGUGAAAUGCUUAGAGAUCCCGCAGAACUCCGAUUGCGAAGGCAGCUUACUAAGUUAUAACUGACACUGAAGCACGAAAGCGUGGGUAUCAAACAGGAUUAGAUACCCUGGUAGUCCACGCAGUAAACGAUGAUUACUGGGAGUUUGCGACAGACGGCAAGCUUUAAAGCGAAAGCGUUAAGUAAUCCACCUGGGGAGUACGCCGGCAACGGUGAAACUCAAAGGAAUUGACGGGGGCCCGCACAAGCGGAGGAACAUGUGGUUUAAUUCGAUGAUACGCGAGGAACCUUACCCGGGAUUGAAAUGUGCCUGAAUGGGGCAGAAAUGCUCCGGCCGUCAAAGGCAGGCAUGUAGGUGCUGCAUGGUUGUCGUCAGCUCGUGCCGUGAGGUGUCGGCUUAAGUGCCAUAACGAGCGCAACCCUGACUGUCAGUUGCUAGCAGGUAAAGCUGAGGACUCUGGCGGGACUGCCGGCGUAAGCUGUGAGGAAGGAUGGGAUGACGUCAAAUCAGCACGGCCCUUACAUCCGGGGCGACACACGUGUUACAAUGGCACGGACAGAGAGAGGCGACCGGGCGACCGGGAGCAAAUCCCCAAACCGUGUCCCAGUUCGGAUCGGAGUCUGCAACCCGACUCCGUGAAGCUGGAUUCGCUAGUAAUCGCGCAUCAGCCAUGGCGCGGUGAAUACGUUCCCGGGCCUU